AUGUUAACGUAUGAUAUGUUAACAUCGGUUUUCCAAAAAAUCGAUGUUAAUGCAUACACGUUAACAU
This is a non-coding RNA of Glycine soja, 67 nucleotides long. Lineage: Eukaryota; Viridiplantae; Streptophyta; Magnoliopsida; Fabales; Fabaceae. The record is from Rfam.